AGAAUCACCAAGACAAGGUGUCCAGUGCCCACAAGGAAUCAUGGCUGAGCAUUCUCCAGACAGCCCAGUCUGCCCACAUGUGAACCACAG
This 90-nucleotide long non-coding RNA is filed under the name Cavia porcellus (domestic guinea pig). RNAcentral describes it as "lncRNA (ENSCPOG00000034788.1)". The record is from RNAcentral. Lineage: Eukaryota; Metazoa; Chordata; Mammalia; Rodentia; Caviidae.